This 509-nucleotide ribosomal RNA is filed under the name Epipocus gorhami. Its description in RNAcentral is "partial 16S ribosomal RNA". It matches the Rfam family "Bacterial large subunit ribosomal RNA", at positions 1825 to 2600 of the family's 2925-position model. The record is from RNAcentral. Lineage: Eukaryota; Metazoa; Arthropoda; Insecta; Coleoptera; Endomychidae.
GUCUUUUUGUAAAUAAUUUAAAGUCUUGCCUGCCCACUGAUAUAUUAAAUGGCCGCGGUAUUUUGACCGUGCAAAGGUAGCAUAAUCAUUAGUUUUUUAAUUGGAAGCUGGAAUGAAUGGUAGAAUAAGAGAAAAACUGUCUCUAAUUAAUUUAUUUAGAAUUUUAUUUUUAAGUUAAAAAGCUUAAAUUUUUUUAAAAGACGAGAAGACCCUAUAGAGUUUAAUAAAAUUUAAAUUUAAUUUUUAAAAUGAUUAGUUGAUUAUUUUUAUAUUUUAUUUUAUUGGGGUGAUGAAAAAAUUUAAGAAACUUUUUUUAAUAUAAAACAUUAAUAAGUGAUUAUUUGAUCCAAAAUUUUUGAUUAAAAGAAUAAAUUACCUUAGGGAUAACAGCGUAAUUUUUUCAAAGAGUUCUAAUCGAAGAAAAAGAUUGCGACCUCGAUGUUGGAUUAAAAUUAAUUAUUGGUGUAGAAGCUAAUAAAUUAGGUCUGUUCGACCUUUAAAAUUUUACA